GAGCAAGUUAAUAAGGGCACACGGUGGAUGCCUUGGCGCCAAACGCCGAUGAAGGACGUGGGACACUGCGAUAAGCCUCGGGAAGCCGUGUACAGGUGUAGAUCCGAGGAUUUCCGAAUAGGGAAACCUGCCGCUGCGAUCCAGCGGCAUCCCGACCUGAACACAUAGGGUCGGUGAAGGGAACCUGGGGAACUGAAACAUCUUAGUACCCAGAGGAAAAGAGAUCAUUCCCCUAGUAGUGGCGAGCGAACGGGGAUCAGCCCAAACCAGUCAGGCUUGCUUGACUGGGGUUGUAGGGCUCGACAUUUGGAAGUUACCAAUCCGGCGGCUAGUAGAAUGGUAUGGAAAAGCCAACCACAGCGGGUGACAGUCCCGUAUACGAAAGCUGCUGGACUUCCGUCGAGUUCCUGAGUACCACCGGGCACGCUAAUCCGGUGGGAAUCUGGGGAGUCCACUCUCCAAGGCUAAAUACGUUUGGCGACCGAUAGUGAACAAGUACCGUGAGGGAAAGGUGAAAAGCACCCCGGUAAGGGGAGUGAAAUAGAACCUGAAACCGUGUGCCUACAAGCAGUCGAAGGGCUAAUGGCGGGUCUGUGCGCCGGUGAAAACCGGCUGUGCGCCGCUAGGCCUGACGGCGUGCCUUUUGGAG
RNAcentral lists this ribosomal RNA (649 nucleotides) under marine sediment metagenome. RNAcentral describes it as "LSU rRNA". It matches the Rfam family "Bacterial large subunit ribosomal RNA", at positions 1 to 613 of the family's 2925-position model. The record is from RNAcentral.